RNAcentral lists this ribosomal RNA (510 nucleotides) under uncultured bacterium. Its description in RNAcentral is "bacterial SSU rRNA". It matches the Rfam family "Bacterial small subunit ribosomal RNA", at positions 34 to 518 of the family's 1533-position model. The record is from RNAcentral.
CGCUGGCGGCGUGCCUAAUACAUGCAAGUCGAACGGUCUUUCUAUGGAAGCUUGCUUCCACUGAGAAGAUAGUGGCGAACGGGUGAGUAACACGUGGGUAACCUGCCCAUAAGAGGGGGAUAACAUCCGGAAACGGGUGCUAAUACCGCAUAGUUUCUUGAUUGCAUGAUUGAGAAAGGAAAGACGGCCUUUGUGCUGUCGCUUAUGGAUGGACCCGCGGCGUAUUAGUUAGUUGGUGAGGUAACGGCUCACCAAGACGAUGAUACGUAGCCGACCUGAGAGGGUGAUCGGCCACAUUGGGACUGAGACACGGCCCAAACUCCUACGGGAGGCAGCAGUAGGGAAUCUUCCGCAAUGGACGAAAGUCUGACGGAGCAACGCCGCGUGAGUGAAGGAAGGUUUUCGGAUCGUAAAACUCUGUUGUCAGAGAAGAACAAGUUGGAGAGUAACUGCUCCAGCCUUGACGGUAUCUGACCAGAAAGCCACGGCUAACUACGUGCCAGCCGCGGC